AUUUGAGCAAGUACAGAUUCCUAAGGAGAUGUGAAGGUAUGUAAUAAAAGCCCUAGGCCUCUUGUCUUUGGGUGCCUUAUCUUCCUGCAGCCUGUUGGCACCUUAGAGUGUAAUCAGAGAUUUGUUACCCUUUUCAAAAGUCCUCUUUUAAGUUUACAAAUAGGCUUAAAGCAAGAUUUCAAAUGAGAGUUAAAAAGAUGUUAGAGAGAUAAUUAUUAUCCAGAGGCAGCGUUCAGAUUACAGCAAUAAUGAGAUAAAAGUUUCUUAGGUUUCUUCUGUCCUGCAUCUGCAGCUGCGGUUGUGUCUUUGGGAGGUGGCUAGAGGAAAAGCAUUUUAGCUGAGCUCUCCACUGUAUGAAGUUAUUCAGAAGAACAUAAUGGAGUCACAGGAUAAGAAUGGAAGAGGGGAAUAUUCUGUUCUGCAGCUAUGGAGUGUGAAUAAUGAGCCUUCAUACCAUAGAGGCUUAAAGAGGUCACAGCUCACAUGAAUGUCACUCAGACACUGCUGUACUGUUUCUGAAACUUCUUUUGUAGAGCAGUAUGUACACUGCUAGUAGUAUCGGUGAGCCACACUAACCAUGUGUAACCAUACUAAGUCAUGGAAGGCUACUGGGUGAAUUUCAGAACGAAGGCAACAACCCCUACUGAAAGGACUAGGCCUUAUACUUAUGGCUUCCUUUCAGUUUGGCACCAUCUUUGUCUUUCAGGUGUGAGCUCAGAAUCUACUGCAUCAUCUGCACAGUGAUGACUGGCAAUGAAGAACAACUGCAAUUUCUGGAGGCAACCUGCACAGUUUCCUGAUGUUUGUGGUUAAGAUGGCCAUUGGAAAGCAUCUUCUCUGGCUACAUGGCACAGAGGAAACAAGCAGCAGUCCCUUACUCCAUCUCCUUCCCUAUGGACAACACUGCAUAUUUCGGCAUCAAAGAAAGGGAAGUUUGCAGUUUGCUUCUCUCAGCAGCAGCUCUUGGAGCCUCAAGAUGCUUAUUAAGGGAGAAAAGCAAACGGGAAUAAACGCAUUGAUUAAGUUGUGCUUAGCACAAACCCUGGAUAGUGAUUCAGAGUAA
This 1063-nucleotide long non-coding RNA is filed under the name Coturnix japonica (Japanese quail). RNAcentral describes it as "lncRNA (ENSCJPG00005003696.1)". Lineage: Eukaryota; Metazoa; Chordata; Aves; Galliformes; Phasianidae. The record is from RNAcentral.